Molecule: ribosomal RNA, 253 nt
Filed under: uncultured bacterium
Lineage: Bacteria
Description: partial 16S ribosomal RNA
Rfam family: Bacterial small subunit ribosomal RNA
Source: RNAcentral
UACGGAGGGUGCAAGCGUUAAUCGGCAUUACUGGGCGUAAAGGGUGCGUAGGUGGUUGGAUAAGUUAGCUGUGAAAUACCUGGGCUUAACCUGGGAUGGUCAGCUAAGACUGUUUGACUCGAGUAUGGGAGAGGGUAGUGGAAUUUCCGGUGUAGCGGUGAAAUGCGUAGAGAUCGGAAGGAACACCAGUGGCGAAGGCGGCUACCUGGCCUGAUACUGACGCUGAAGCGCGAAAGCGUGGGGAGCAAACAGG